AGCUGAAUGGCGCAGCGGAAGCGCGCCGGGCUCAUAACCCGGAGGACAGCGGAUGUCAGUACUCACCAGCUCAGCAAAAAAUAAUACUUGUACUAACAACUAAACAGCGAAACCGCUUUCAGCUA
RNAcentral lists this transfer RNA (125 nucleotides) under Verruconis gallopava. RNAcentral describes it as "tRNA-iMet (CAT) (tRNA-iMet-CAT-1-1)". It matches the Rfam family "tRNA". From Rfam's summary of the family: Transfer RNA (tRNA) molecules are approximately 80 nucleotides in length. Their secondary structure includes four short double-helical elements and three loops (D, anti-codon, and T loops). Lineage: Eukaryota; Fungi; Ascomycota; Dothideomycetes; Venturiales; Sympoventuriaceae. The record is from RNAcentral.